Molecule: ribosomal RNA, 484 nt
Filed under: uncultured bacterium
Lineage: Bacteria
Description: partial 16S ribosomal RNA
Rfam family: Bacterial small subunit ribosomal RNA
Source: RNAcentral
AUUGAACGCUGGCGGCAGGCCUAACACAUGCAAGUCGAGCGGAUGAGGCGAGCUUGCUCCUGGAUUCAGCGGCGGACGGGUGAGUAAUGCCUAGGAAUCUGCCUGGUAGUGGGGGAUAACGUCCGGGAACGGGCGCUAAUACCGCAUACGUCCCGAGGGAGAAAGUGGGGGAUCUUCGGACCUCACGCUAUCAGAUGAGCCUAGGUCGGAUUAGCGAGUUGGUGGGGUAAAGGCCUACUAAUGCGGCGAUCCGUAACUGGUGUGAGAGGGUGAUCAGUGACACUGGAACUGAGAGACGGUACUGGGUCUGAGGGGCGGCCGCGGUGCGGAAUGGUGGACGAAGGGGGGAAGACUGAACAAGGGGUGGCGGGCGUGUGAAGAAGGGCCUUGGACUGGAAGACGGUUUACGGUGUGAGGAAGGGCAGUGAGUUUGAACAUGCCUUGUGUGACGUUACUAAGAGAAUAAGCACCGGCUAACUUCGUG